Molecule: ribosomal RNA, 468 nt
Filed under: Leptonetela encun
Lineage: Eukaryota; Metazoa; Arthropoda; Arachnida; Araneae; Leptonetidae
Description: partial large subunit ribosomal RNA
Rfam family: Eukaryotic large subunit ribosomal RNA
Source: RNAcentral
GUGCACGCAUUUCCCUCCGCCCUUGGACGCCGCAGCGCGUGGGUCGGAUUGGCCCUGAUCAUCCUAAUCGUAGGCUCCUGGCGCGCCAGAGGGGACGCGGCGAGUAGGUCGGUCACCCACCCGUCCCGUCUUGAAACACGGACCAAGGAGUGCGACGCUUGCGCGAGUCGUUGGGUCUUGAACAGGCCCGCAGGCGCAGAUAACACGUGGUUGGGAUUCCCGGGACGCACCAGCGGCCCGGUCGGCGUCUGAGCGCACGCGUUGCGACCCGAAAGGUGGUGAGCUAUGCUUGGGCAGGUCGAAGCCAGAGGAAACUCUGGUGGAGGACCGUAGCGGUUCUGACGUGCAAAUCGAUCGUCGGACUCGAGUAUAGGGGCGAAAGACCAAUCGAACCACCUAGUAGCUGGUUCCCUCCGAAGUUUCCCUCAGGAUAGCUGGCGUCGGAGCAUUCAUUUCUGGUAAAGCGAA